UACGGAGGAUUCAAGCGUUAUCCGGAUUUAUUGGGUUUAAAGGGUGCGUAGGCGGUUUUUUAAGUUAGAGGUGAAAUCCCGGGGCUCAACCCCGGAACUGCCUCUGAUACUGGGAGACUAGAGAGUAGAUGCUGUGGGCGGAAUGUAUGGUGUAGCGGUGAAAUGCUUAGAGAUCAUACAGAACACCGAUUGCGAAGGCAGCUCACAAAUCUAUAUCUGACGCUGAGGCACGAAAGCGUGGGGAGCAAAC
Molecule: ribosomal RNA, 250 nt
Filed under: uncultured bacterium
Lineage: Bacteria
Description: partial 16S ribosomal RNA
Rfam family: Bacterial small subunit ribosomal RNA
Source: RNAcentral